CCUACGGGUGGCAGCAGUGAGGAAUAUUGGUCAAUGGACGAGAGUCUGAACCAGCCAAGUAGCGUGAAGGAUGACUGCCCUAUGGGUUGUAAACUUCUUUUAUAUGGGAAUAAAAUGUUCCACGUGUGGGAUUUUGUAUGUACCAUAUGAAUAAGGAUCGGCUAACUCCGGGCCAGCAGCCGCGGUAAUACGGAGGGUCCGAGCGUUAUCCGGAUUUAUUGGGUUUAAAGGGUGCGUAGGUGGAUUUUUAAGUCAGUUGUGAAAGUUUGCGGCUCAACCGUAAAAUUGCAGUUGAAACUGGCAGUCUUGAGUACAGUAGAGGUGGGCGGAAUUCGUGGUGUAGCGGUGAAAUGCUUAGAUAUCACGAAGAACUCCGAUUGCGAAGGCAGUUCACUGGACUGCAACUGACACUGAGGCUCGAAAGUGUGGGUAUCAAACAGGAUUAGAUACCCGGGUAGUC
Molecule: ribosomal RNA, 460 nt
Filed under: uncultured bacterium
Lineage: Bacteria
Description: partial 16S ribosomal RNA
Rfam family: Bacterial small subunit ribosomal RNA
Source: RNAcentral